CUAAUACAUGCAAGUCGAGCGAGCUUGCCUAGAUGAUUUUAGUGCUUGCACUAAAUGAAACUAGAUACAAGCGAGCGGCGGACGGGUGAGUAACACGUGGGUAACCUGCCCAAGAGACUGGGAUAACACCUGGAAACAGAUGCUAAUACCGGAUAACAACACUAGACGCAUGUCUAGAGUUUGAAAGAUGGUUCUGCUAUCACUCUUGGAUGGACCUGCGGUGCAUUAGCUAGUUGGUAAGGUAAUGGCUUACCAAGGCGAUGAUGCAUAGCCGAGUUGAGAGACUGAUCGGCCACAUUGGGACUGAGACACGGCCCAAACUCCUACGGGAGGCAGCAGUAGGGAAUCUUCCACAAUGGACGAAAGUCUGAUGGAGCAACGCCGCGUGAGUGAAGAAGGGUUUCGGCUCGUAAAGCUCUGUUGGUAGUGAAGAAAGAUAGAGGUAGUAACUGGCCUUUAUUUGACGGUAAUUACUUAGAAAGUCACGGCUAACUACGUGCCAGCAGCCGCGGUAAUACGUAGGUGGCAAGCGUUGUCCGGAUUUAUUGGGCGUAAAGCGAGUGCAGGCGGUUCAAUAAGUCUGAUGUGAAAGCCUUCGGCUCAACCGGAGAAUUGCAUCAGAAACUGUUGAACUUGAGUGCAGAAGAGGAGAGUGGAACUCCAUGUGUAGCGGUGGAAUGCGUAGAUAUAUGGAAGAACACCAGUGGCGAAGGCGGCUCUCUGGUCUGCAACUG
RNAcentral lists this ribosomal RNA (734 nucleotides) under uncultured Bacilli bacterium. RNAcentral's name for it is "bacterial SSU rRNA". It matches the Rfam family "Bacterial small subunit ribosomal RNA", at positions 48 to 742 of the family's 1533-position model. The record is from RNAcentral. Lineage: Bacteria; Bacillati; Bacillota; Bacilli.